Molecule: long non-coding RNA, 283 nt
Organism: Rhagoletis pomonella (apple maggot)
Lineage: Eukaryota; Metazoa; Arthropoda; Insecta; Diptera; Tephritidae
Exons: 3
Source: RefSeq, a predicted model, not a curated record
AGAUGGUGUUUUAGAAACGACGAAUGUGCUAAAAAUGUUGACUUCCUUGCUGCCCAACUCAGUCCGAUAGAGUACACCACGAUCACCGAAGGAAUUGUCAGCAUACCAUUACUUGGAAGCGAAAUCUUUCAAAAUCAAUUUGGUUUGAAAACGCAACAACAUCCCAUUAUACCGUUAUUACAAAAUCAAUCGGUAAACAUAAAUGACGUGGCCCACAAAAUUGUCGGUAUUUUCAAUCAUCAUGAUCAGCAAAGAAAGGAGCACAUUGUUGCGUAUUUAAGGC